UAGGGAAUAUUGGACAAUGGGCGAAAGCCUGAUCCAGCAACGCCGCGUGCGCGAUGAAGGCCUUCGGGUUGUAAAGCGCUUUUCGGGGGGAUGAGGAAGGACAGUACCCCCGGAAUAAGUCUCGGCUAACUACGUGCCAGCAGCCGCGGUAAAACGUAGGAGGCAAGCGUUAUCCGGAUUUACUGGGCGUAAAGCGCGUGCAGGCGGUUCGGUAAGUCGGACGUGAAAGCUCCUGGCUCAACUGGGAGAGGCCGUUCGAUACUACCGAACUAGAGGGCAGGAGAGGGAGGUGGAAUUCCGGGUGUAGCGGUGAAAUGCGUAGAUAUCCGGAGGAACACCAGUGGCGAAGGCGGCCUCCUAGUCUGCCCCUGACGCUCAGACGCGAAAGCUAGGGGAGCGAACGGGAUUAGAACCCCCGGUAGUCCUAGCUGUAAACGAUGCGGACUUGGUGUGGGUGGCUUAAACUCCAUCCGUGCCGUAGCUAACGCGAUAAGUCCGCCGCCUGGGGACUACGACCGCAAGGUUA
This 526-nucleotide ribosomal RNA is filed under the name uncultured bacterium. RNAcentral's name for it is "bacterial SSU rRNA". It matches the Rfam family "Bacterial small subunit ribosomal RNA", at positions 355 to 896 of the family's 1533-position model. The record is from RNAcentral.